GACGAACCGAGCGAACGUUGUUCGGAAUCACUGGGCUUAAAGGGCGCGUAGGCGGGCGAUCAAGUCGGUGGUGAAAUCCUACAGCUUAACUGUAGAACUGCCUCCGAUACUGGUCGUCUCGAGGAAGGUAGGGGCGUGCGGAACAGUUGGUGGAGCGGUGAAAUGCGUUGAUAUCAACUGGAACUCCGGUGGCGAAGGCGGCACGCUGGACCUUUUCUGACGCUGAGGCGCGAAAGCCAGGGGAGCAAACGGG
This 253-nucleotide ribosomal RNA is filed under the name uncultured bacterium. RNAcentral describes it as "partial 16S ribosomal RNA". It matches the Rfam family "Bacterial small subunit ribosomal RNA", at positions 524 to 776 of the family's 1533-position model. The record is from RNAcentral.